GACGAACGCUGGCGGCGUGCUUAACACAUGCAAGUCGAACGAAGUGGCGAACGGGUGAGUAACGCGUAAUCAACCUGCCCUUCAGGGGGGGACAACAGUUGGAAACGACUGCUAAUACCGCAUAAGGAAGGAGGGGAGUGCGUCUGAUUAGCUAGUUGGAGGGGUAACGGCCCACCAAGGCGAGGAUUAGUAGCCGGUCUGAGAGGAGGAACUGACCCAUUGGGACUGAUACACGGCCCAGACUCCUUCGGGAGGCAGCAGUGGGGAAUCUUCCGCAAUGGACGAAAGUCUGACGGAGCAACGCCGCGUGAGUGAUGACGGCCUUCGGGUUGUAAAGCUCUGUUAAUCGGGACGCGGUACCGGAAUAGAAAGCCACGGCUAACUACGUGCCAGCAGCCGCGGUAAUUC
Molecule: ribosomal RNA, 408 nt
Filed under: uncultured bacterium
Lineage: Bacteria
Description: partial 16S ribosomal RNA
Rfam family: Bacterial small subunit ribosomal RNA
Source: RNAcentral